ACACAUUAAACUUAGUAAUUACACUUAAUUACAUCUAAAUUCAAUUCGCUUUUCAAUAAGAUCCUUGCCAAUAUCACGUCGUUGAUUUUUCUAAUUACUCGGCGAUUUCCCCCCACCGCAUGCGCGUGUCACCGGCAGCAACCACCGUCGGCGGCAACUUCAUCACGACCUCCUUGAUCCUCUUGGAAUCGGUAAACAUGUCCUUUUAACUCAGUGCAAAUUGGAUUAUUCUAGAAUCCAAAGUUUAUUGGCGACUCUAUUGCUUUUAGUAGUUGUUGUAAUUCUGCUUUCUAUUUUUGCUGGUAUUUUCUGUUUCUUUGUACUUGAAGGUCUGAUCGGAGACUAUGUUGCUCCAGAAGUAGUUGAUAGUUCGCAAUUAUAUUUAAUUUACCCGAAUUUUAUGUUUUUAUUUAAUUAAUCACUGUUUGGUUUGCUCCAGAAGUAGUUCUCUUGCUAAUCUGAAUCAGUGAUGAUCCUUGUAUAGGCGAUGACUGGUUUCUGCAGUAUCACACUAGCAACAAGAUAGGUCUAGAAUUGCCAUUUUGCAUUUCCAUUUGUUUCUUUGUUUCGGUGAAUUUGGAUCUUUUUGCUCUAGAAUCAUGUCCUGGUGGUGACUGUAUUGCUCUAGGAGCAGUUGUGAAUAAGCUUUUCUGGUCAUUUUUUUUUUCUGUUUCAUGAAUUUCGUUCUUUGUGCUCCAUAUACAUGGCAGUAUCUGAUCUAGGAUUUGGAGGCUAUGGGUUCUAAGUUGGAGCGUUCGUGUAUUUCCAAAAAGGGAACCCUAUGUACGUUACCUUGAAAAAGAAAAGAUUAUAGAACCAUAUGUAAAAGAACAAAAAGAAAUGUAGACUGUGGGACUCUAACUCAUGUCUAAUAACUUAAUAUCAUUCGCAUAGGACUUUCACGACUAAACAGAAAUGCUUAUCGUUGCUGGUUCACAUUUCAAACUUUGAUAAUUUGUCAGCUUUUAGUAGGCUUUACAAUAUUUAUACACAGCCCAUACUAGAACCAGUGGGUUUGGUGAAACCUAGUCCUAUUGAACUGGGUUCACCACUGAAAUGUAGUCUGAUUGGCGAAUGUUUUUCGAUAGAAAUAUUGUGUAAUUUUCCCAUCUUUACUGAACAUUUUGUCUUUCUUUAUAUGUGGUUGUUUACCCUGAAUUUAUUGUCUGAUUGGCGACUAUGUUGCCACAGGAGCACGAAUUACUUGUAGAUUCACAUUAUAACAUUGUUUUUGGAGUAGUCCCAUUUCAAUUUUGUGCUAUUUGUGAGUUCUGCAGCUUGGGUUGGCCAAGGAUUCUUGCAGAGCAAUAAUAAAAAUGAUAUCGUGAGUUAGGUGAUUCUUUCCUAUCUGCCUAAGUCUUGGUAGGUAGAGUUACUCGGUAUAUGUGCUGGUGAGUGGUGAGAGAUGGUAGGUGGAGUAGUUGAGGUGAAGGCAAGAUAACUGACACAACCAUUAUAAAAAGAAUAUCAUCAUGAGUUGAGCUGAAUGCAUGGUUGGCUAGUUAAGUUAUCUGCUAUUAGGAUGUGCUGUGGGCGGGAUGAUACCAACAUAAAGAAUCAUCUAAAUAUUAAUUCCAUACAAGCUAAGGUAGGCUAUGAAAAUCCUCUAUGUCAAUUCUGUUCUAUUUGGCCCCUUUUCAUUCCAAUACCUCAAAAUAAUUGAUUCAUGUAGCCGACCCUAGCUUGUGUGGGACUAAGGCAUAGAAGCAGUUGUUAUUGUUAGGAAAACUACAGAAAUUUCAAAAUUGAAGGUUCUCUAAAUCUACAUUGACAUAAGAAUUUCCUUGAACUAGAAGGAGUCUAAGCUAGUUAUAUCACUUAUAUAAGACAUAUUCUUUCAUUAUAUUUUAUUUCUAGCUAACAAGCAUUGGUUCCAUGAAACUUACUAUUAUGGACAUAAUUUCGUUUACGUGAUUUAGGUCUACACAUGUCUUAUUAGUACCGUCAGUUAUCAACCUGAGUAAUCUGGAUAAAACUGCAUCCUUUCUGUUGUUAGAAGAUAAAAUUGUACACUUCUGUCCAUUGUAACCCUAAGAGGACGGUCUCAUGCUGACCAUUAACUUUGAGCAUUAAUUCUUGUUCCUAUUAAGUUUGUCUUUGGAUGCGUCAGAUUUUCUGGUUGUUAGUGUUUUGUGAUCAUUGUCCAAUCUCUUCCUUACAAUUGCUUAUUGUUUUUGUAAUGUAAUUGUUAGCCUAAUCACUUUUGUCAAUUUUGCAGGUACAAUUCUAUUUCUUUGGUAAUGAAUAGACCCAAAGGAUACUAACUGCUGCUUUAACCUCAAAGUCAGCAUCUAUUACAUGAAAAAGGGCAUACAGGUCAACAAUGAAGCGUUUUGUUUAUAUUGAUGAUGAUGAUUUGUCAAACAAUAUUUACUGUGACAACCGGAUCUCAAACAGAAAAUAUACUGUAUGGAAUUUUCUUCCAAAGAACUUGUG
RNAcentral lists this long non-coding RNA (2436 nucleotides) under Solanum tuberosum (potato). RNAcentral describes it as "long non-coding RNA (STUB_LNC002308)". The record is from RNAcentral. Lineage: Eukaryota; Viridiplantae; Streptophyta; Magnoliopsida; Solanales; Solanaceae.